This is a long non-coding RNA of Lolium rigidum, 2116 nucleotides long. RefSeq lists it as uncharacterized. The transcript is spliced from 6 exons. NCBI's taxonomy places the organism in Eukaryota, Viridiplantae, Streptophyta, Magnoliopsida, Poales, Poaceae. The record is from RefSeq and is a predicted model, not a curated record.
UGCGAGGUCGAAAUCGGCGGCGGCGUCCGCCUCCAUUGAGAAGAGGAUGGCAGGUGGCGCGCCGUGCGGGGUGAAGCUUCUGCAUACCCUGAACGUGGGUGGUCGCUGUGCUGUGCCGGCGGGGUGGCGUUGCAGUCACGGGUCUUGACAAGGAGCGGAGUGGGGGCGGCGGUGGUGACGGAUUUGAGGCGACGACGUCCUUCCACGCCAGUGCCGAAGAUCUCCAGGCAAAUGUGAUGGGGCACCUGCGCGACAUGGCGUACCAUCAGGUCACGGCAUGCUCCACUCCUCCCAUUGUUGACAGAUAUUGGGUGUUCCUCAAUCCUCAUCUAGGAGAGCGAUCCUAUCUUCUUCAGUGGGGUAUCCCCCAUCACGUGAUUCACGCCGAGUCUUCCGCAUCAGCAACUGUCCACAUCUUUUUGCGCAAGCAACAGUGGGAAGUAAGUUGAUCAGGCCUGUUGUAGUGGAGUUGGGCAACUGCUAUCUUUGCCUUGCUGCCAUCUUGCUCCACAAAUAAAUUUUUCAUGCUGCUCAUGUGUUCUGGCAAGUUCAGUUGGCCGUUUGAAGCUGGUGGCAAGGAAAUGUGGCUGUACGUACAACGUAGUUCGCCAAAUCCCUCCCUCAGCGUCAUCAGCUGCAGAAAACAGUAUAUCUAGACAGUCGUUUAUCUUUUGCUUUUAAGCAUUAUCUCCUGUUAAACAUGGUCAUCAAUUACUUAGCCUGUAAGGAAUACAGAUAUUUUCUCACUUAUUUUUAUCAAAGAAGUCAUAUAGUUGCAUGGUUUGAUUAACUUCACAAGAGACUAUUGUUUCAACAACCAGUAAGUGACACAAGAUAUUUUCUCUCUUUUCGACUGGAAUAAAGUCAUGGAUGGUUAUUUUGUGUUUGCUUCAAAUCCCUGAAUUUUUUAUUCUUUUGCGACCAUGAACUAUUGAUUUGCAUGAGUAGAAAUUUUGCCAGGUGUACUGUAAGUGUAUUCUUUGUUUGUGGACAAUACUGCUAUUUGAUUUUUUGUUAAAGGAUAGGUAUUCCAACUCCCCUUCUUAUUCUGAAUUUUUAGAAAUGCAUUCUUUUACUCCACGGUCCACGCUCAUACUGAUAUGCUCCUCACUACCUGAUGUGCUCAUAGGCAAGAAAUGUGUAGUUAGUUGACAGGUUCAUCUGAGAACCUGCCACUCCCAUUUGUUAUAUCUUUGGCAAGCAACCAUCGUUGGAAAUAUUUUACAUCAUACGAAGUGCAAAGUGAAGUAGACAAGCAGAACUUGUGGUUUAUUUUAUGUACAUCUGCUCAAAAUCAAAGUGAAGUACAGCAGUUGCUGAUGAGUGCAGCACCUGUUGUUUUCUUCACAGAGAAAUUGAGCUGGACAGGACUUUAAAGAGAGACUGAGAUUACUCCUUUAACAUAUGAGUGGAAUUGCUCUUGAAUUCUGACCAAUAUUUUAGGAUGUAAUCCACUCGCAUUGUGGUUGCCUAGAUGAUAAUUCCCCAAGAGGCUUCCUACUACAAUGAGUAGAGUUUCCCCACAACCAGCGGAGGACCUGGUGGCGCCCACCGCCAUGGACCACCCUGCGUUGGUGAAGGCCAAGGCAGAGAAGGAGUAUCCGGAUAUAGAGAUGAGGGAGGAGGAGGCCAAGGGGACGGGCAACACAAGCACGAGGUGCACGACGGCGACGGAGUCCAUCCUGAUGGCUGCUGACGCCACGAGUACUGUGGGGUCUGCGGCGGGCGUACCAGACCCGUAUGAGGAGCUGCCUCCCUCCCCGCAGUGUGUCUAUGUUCAUGGGGCACUGCCAUUUCCCUCCCUGUAUGGUGCACAACCUCGUGGUUGGUAGACGAUGGCACCGGCGAUCUCAACAUCACCAGUUCUGCAUUAGGACCCAUUCACAACAAAUGAGUGACGAUGGCACCGGCGAUCGCAACAUCACCAGUUCUGGUUCGUCUUCCUCUGACUCACCACUCAAAUUUGAACUAAUUCUAGUUCUAUUCUACUAUGACAUGUUUUUCUGAAUGUCUGGUAUUUUUAUGUAGCAUUAGGACCCAGUCACAACAAGUAAGUGUUUCUAAGUUGUUGUAAUUGCAUCUGAGAUGAUCCUUGGACAUGAUUCCCCUGCAAAAA